AGAGAAUUGAAGAUUACAUCUUGGUUUGCUAAAUCACAGCCAAGGUAUAUUAAAAAAAAAAAAAUACAGCAUGCUUAAAGCCAACCUCAACCAUUGAUUAAGAUUCAAAAUCCUUAUACAAAAACCAAUCAGAGGCAGAGCAGAGAUGGUAACUGGGAAGAUUAAGGGACUCAUCGGAUCGACUUACCGGCGCUGCUGUCACCACGCCGUUGAUCCAGUGCCAUCACCUCCAAGCAAGUCAUCCUCCUCCUCCUCUUCUUCUUCUAGCUUCAGCUCACCCUUUUUCUUCUUUCUAUCCAAUCCAUAUUCCCUUGCCUCAUCCUCCUCCAAAUACUCUUCCAAUUCCUUUAUCUUCAAAAACUUAUCCUCUAUUCCUUCUCCACCUUUCCCCUCCCCCAUUUCACCACUCUCAUCUUCAUUCUCUCCCUUCUCACUCUCUCUUCUUCCACCUUCCUCUUCCUCUUCCUCAUCAUCAAAUUCAUCCAUAUCCAUAUCCAUGUCAUCGUCAUCAACAUCAUCAUCAAAGCGUUUGGUUUCCUUCUCUUCUAGAAUCUUCCUUUCCCCAUCAAGGAACUCAUUCUCCUUCUUCAAGACUAUCUUGCUCUCCUCGGGAUGCUUCUCCAAGUGCUUGACUUGUCGACGGAGGGUGGAGAGCAGAGGCUGCGAAAGCAGGUCAAUUUGCUGCCAAAUCUGCUCGGCAUCAAAGCCAUCAGUUAAAAGUUGAUCGAACGGCGAUUUAGGAGCGUAUGGUUUGAGGCAAGAGAAUAGGUGUUGAGACGCCGUCCGCGCUGUUUGGGAGAGCGUGGGCGAUGGUGCCAACAAUGCUGGAGGGUCCGUGGAUUUCAGGUGGUGCAGGGCUUCCAUCCCUGUUUCGCUUGGUUUAGCCAUUCCCAAAUUUGAUCGAUAUCUGCACGCCUGUGUGCGCCUGUGUUUAAAGUUGGGGUUAGGGUUUUAGGCUUUAGCCUUUGUUUCUGAG
This 976-nucleotide unclassified non-coding RNA is filed under the name Hevea brasiliensis (rubber tree). Lineage: Eukaryota; Viridiplantae; Streptophyta; Magnoliopsida; Malpighiales; Euphorbiaceae. The record is from RNAcentral.